GCGACAGGAGGUGGGGGAGGUGUGAUGUAGAGGGAUUGAAAUUGGAGGAAGAUUUUUGCUUUUUGCUUUUAUUUGUUUUUGCUUCCACUUUUCCCCUUUAUUCUUUCCGCAUCGUUUUUCUUUGUUUUCGUUUCAUGGCCUUUGGUUGGGCGUGGUUGGCGAUGGAGGGUGUUUGGCUGAUUGAACUACCGGAAAUUCCCCUUUGUUGCUGAGGUGUUUUUCGAUUUUCUCUGACCUUUCCUUAAAUAGCUCAAUGGCGCUUAUUGCAGGAUUUUGUGCUUUCUCUUUUUAUUUCGUUUCCAGGAAUGGAUGGAUGGAUGGAUGGAUGCAACGAGAUGCAGCUCUGUAAUUGCAGGUUUUUUUGUGAAUAGUUAGCUCUCCCUA
This 384-nucleotide small RNA is filed under the name Histoplasma capsulatum. RNAcentral's name for it is "hypothetical RNA". RNAcentral also lists the same sequence under 1 other name. Lineage: Eukaryota; Fungi; Ascomycota; Eurotiomycetes; Onygenales; Ajellomycetaceae. The record is from RNAcentral.